CCCGUUCCCAUCCCGAACACGAUGGUUAAGACCUAAGCGGCCGAUGGUACUAUGCUGGAGACGGCAUGGGAGAGCAGGUGAGUGCCAGAU
RNAcentral lists this ribosomal RNA (90 nucleotides) under Enterocloster citroniae. The record is from RNAcentral. Lineage: Bacteria; Bacillati; Bacillota; Clostridia; Lachnospirales; Lachnospiraceae.